RNAcentral lists this long non-coding RNA (1873 nucleotides) under Anas platyrhynchos platyrhynchos (common mallard). RNAcentral's name for it is "lncRNA (ENSAPLG00000016850.1)". Lineage: Eukaryota; Metazoa; Chordata; Aves; Anseriformes; Anatidae. The record is from RNAcentral.
UCCCUUAUUUGUUCCUGUGCUAGGAUCUGAAAACAUGCUUUUCAUUCGCAGCAGUCUUAUCUCUGAGGCAGAGCAAAAAGAAGUAAAUUAUUCAGUUGCCCACAUUUUAACUAUAAUGGGGUGAGAAGCAGAUGGUUAAUAGCAACUGUUAUUUUUCUUUUCCGUGUAUAAGCAAUUGUAGGGGGAAAUAAAGUUAUUGGUUUGGCUAGGAAGAGGCGAGGGAUUGCAUGCAUUCUGCACUUUUCUCUUUGGGUGAACGGGUUGUCAUCAAAAUCAUAUGGUCUGUGCUUUGAUUUGUAGAACUUCUCCUGAACAUUGGGCUUGCCUGGAUAUGACAUUCAAAAGUUCCCGUGUUACAGGCAAACAGAUGAAUGCCCUUGAGCUGAAAGAAAGACCUUGCUUGACUCAGAAAACUAAUGUCAUUUUCCUGGUGUUGUUACUGAAGGUAGUGUUAUACUUCUGUGUAUCUGAACAUGACAGCAGUUACAGCAUGGAACCUCUUCUCAAAAAGAAGGUCCAUGUGGCCCGCAAAGUCUGCACGAAGCAGCCAUGCAAGGUAGGCUAUCUCCUUCCAUGACUAUGGGGUGGCUAGACCAGGAGAUCUGUACAUGGAGUGACACUUUCAAUCUGCUGUGCCUCAUGUUGGCACUUUCAUACUUCUCAACAUUCAAAGCCCCUGAGCGCCUUUUUCCAGGAGAGUAAGUGUGGAUUUAAUCAUCUAACUGAAGUCCCAAAUUUGAAACUUUUGCUGAGAAGCCUGGCUGUUUCAGGAGGACAAUGCCAUGUUAUGUCACACAUUUUUGGAGGAGAGUGGCACAUUAACAGCCAGCUCAAAAGGAGGGAAUUUCCUUUCCAGGCAGAAUGAACAGGCAGGUCUGUUGCUGAUCACCAAGUCUGUGGUUUAUUUAACUGCCUUUUUUUUUUUUUUUUUUUUUUUUUUUUUUUUUCUUUCUGUUCCUUCAGGCCCUAGCUGGUGAUAGGGUUACCAGGCUCCAUUGUCAGCAGUGUACUGAUGACACUAGAGUUUAUAUCUUAUUUCCUACAGCUGCAAACACUGCCAGCACUAAGAUUUCACAAUGCCUGGGACACCAGCACUGGGAUGAAGUAGAGUAGCUUCUAACUGAAUUCAGGUGGUGUGAGAGGCUGCAAGGCGGGUGGCUUUCUGGAUAAGGGGAAACCACCCAUCAGAGUUCUGCCCUAAUGCCUCUCAUCUCCAAAGACCCCUGGCCUUGCUGGGCUUACUGUUGGCUUCGUAUGCCCUGAUAUUCCUCCUUUUCAACCCUAGAUUUUACUUGGCAUCUUUCACUUGGGUGUGAGUUGGCAUGAUGAUUCAUUCAUCUGUUACCUUCAGACUGAAUUACUGCAAUGGAGGAUGAAGAUGGGGCAAGCCAGAUAUUCAGUUUAUGCAAAUAUCACACUUUUGUAUCCUUGGGAAAAUGAUGCACUAUCACCCCAAGCCUUGACCUUCCUUCUUGUUCCUGGGCUGUCUCUGUGGUUUUGCUCAUCAGAGCCAUGUGUUAGUCACUACCAUCCCUGGUUUGCUAUGGCCAAGCCUGCAAGGCCAGAUCCUGCUCACAAAAGCUACUCUUUAGUCACCUUUGUCCUGUGAUUCACAUGCCUGCAUUGGCAUGCAGUUAUGUUCCUUCCUCUGUGCUUAGCCAUGGUUUGCCAGUUGGCAUGCUGUUGUUACGCUAAUAGUAGACACAAGGUCCCUCCAUGCUCCCCAUUGCUCUGUUGGGGUUGUUUUGAGAAAUUCUAGCCACCCUUCACUUUAGCUAAAGCCAAGGGCACCACUGCAUGCAAGUAAAGAGAAUUUCAUAGUCCCUUAUAGACCUCCAUAUAUAGAAAUAAAUAAUACUUGUACUUAUAAUCA